This 609-nucleotide ribosomal RNA is filed under the name Arthrobacter sp. RNAcentral describes it as "bacterial SSU rRNA". It matches the Rfam family "Bacterial small subunit ribosomal RNA", at positions 78 to 697 of the family's 1533-position model. Lineage: Bacteria; Bacillati; Actinomycetota; Actinomycetes; Micrococcales; Micrococcaceae. The record is from RNAcentral. RNAcentral also lists the same sequence under 1 other name.
GCUUGCUGGGGGGAUUAGUGGCGAACGGGUGAGUAACACGUGAGUAACCUGCCCUUGACUCUGGGAUAAGCCUGGGAAACUGGGUCUAAUACCGGAUAUGACUCCUCAUCGCAUGGUGGGGGGUGGAAAGCUUUUGUGGUUUUGGAUGGACUCGCGGCCUAUCAGCUUGUUGGUGGGGUAAUGGCCUACCAAGGCGACGACGGGUAGCCGGCCUGAGAGGGUGACCGGCCACACUGGGACUGAGACACGGCCCAGACUCCUACGGGAGGCAGCAGUGGGGAAUAUUGCACAAUGGGCGCAAGCCUGAUGCAGCGACGCCGCGUGAGGGAUGACGGCCUUCGGGUUGUAAACCUCUUUCAGUAGGGAAGAAGCCUUUCGGGGUGACGGUACUUGCAGAAGAAGCGCCGGCUAACUACGUGCCAGCAGCCGCGGUAAUACGUAGGGCGCAAGCGUUAUCCGGAAUUAUUGGGCGUAAAGAGCUCGUAGGCGGUUUGUCGCGUCUGCUGUGAAAGACCGGGGCUCAACUCCGGUUCUGCAGUGGGUACGGCAGACUAGAGUGCAGUAGGGGAGACUGGAAUUCCUGGUGUAGCGGGUGAAAUGCGCAGAUAU